This is a long non-coding RNA of Sapajus apella (tufted capuchin), 460 nucleotides long. RefSeq lists it as uncharacterized. The transcript has 3 exons. Lineage: Eukaryota; Metazoa; Chordata; Mammalia; Primates; Cebidae. The record is from RefSeq and is a predicted model, not a curated record.
UUUUAAAUCCAAGAAAUAUAACAAACAAGAUACAGAAAAAGAGGGUACAGACCAGAGGCACAAAUCUGUUUAAAAAGUUGGCAUUUAAAUUAUCAACCAUAAGGCAUAAGAGGGUAAUUCAAUAUCAAACUUCAGAGUGAAAAAUCUGUUUGGAUCUUAAACCCAACUGCUCAACAGUAAACAAUAUGAAUGUACAUUAACUUCAGAAUCAGGCAAAACUAUAAAGAAUCUGCUUUGCUUUAGUAUUUAUCUCUUAGAAAGUAUGUAUCAUUUAUAAGACCAACUGAAAGAAAUGGUAAAAUCAUACUAUAAGCUGUUUACACUCAAGACUAUGGAUGAAAUGUGAAAAUAGUGAUUGUGUUGAAUAAAGUUAGAUCAUCUUCCAAUCCAGUUUUAUCUCAGAGAUCUUGUCUGUUGAUCUGGAGAUACAAGUUUAACACUGAAAUAUGUGUAGAUUGCU